CCACUUCCGGCUUUUUCUUUAUGUGGUGCUGAGGAAUCGAAUCCAGGGCUUCAUGCAUGCUAGGCAAGCAUUCUACCACUAAGCCACAUUCCCAGCCCUUGCCUGCAGUUCUUAAGAUCCUUAUCUUAUGGGAGCCAGCUUUUUUUUUCUACUCUGAAUCUCUUCACUUUUGGUUUGUUCUGUGCUAUUCAGGCCUGCUGCAUCUGGGCAUUGCUCAAGUGUGCUUUCUGCCUAGCAUGUUCUUUCAUUUUUCUGCUUCUCCAAACAUUUCAUAUUAAGCUCUCUGGCUCUUAAAACCUCCAGGGAUCUCUUUCUUCCCACACCCUUGAUUAAAAUUUGCCUUAUGAAUAAUUUGAAACUUGCAAAUUUGUUGUUUAUGUGUUAGAUUUUAUUCCUUAGGAAUAAAACUUUUGAGAUCAAGAAUUGUGCUCUUUACUGUUCUACCUUACAGUAAAAGAUCAGAAACAUCAUUAGUACCUUGUAAACUCGCCAUAUUACUUGAUUAGUGGUUUUAAUCUUAAAUAUGCUAAUGAUAAAAGUCACAUUCAAAUGAUAGAUUUAGCUUUUUACUAAAUUAUUAAAGUACUAAAUUGAGUGUAUUCUUAAUGAACAGUAUACUAGGUUGAGUAUAAUCUUAAAGUUCAUUCCCAGAGCCAGUAAUUUAUAUAAAACUUGAAUUGUUCAUCUAAACUAUGAUUCUGCAUGUAAGCUGAAGAAUCCAGAAAACAAAUUAGACUGAAUGCUGGGAGAAUGAUACACCACUGGCACCAUUCCAAAUGCUUAGCUGAGAAUUCUGUCCACUGUGUUCAGGCAGGGCACCAAUCAUUGCUUAGUUCAUAGGAACCACUAUGGAGAGUGAAGCAUAUAAUGUCAUUUUCGUUAUUGCAUUCAGUUUCUUCAUAUUUUCAUGGCUCAGCUGAAUCUUUCUGUAUGUUUAUUAUUCUCUAAUGUUAUGUCUUUUUUCAAGAAAUUAAUAUUGAGAAAACUUGUGAGGAAAGCAAUGUGAGGAAACUAAUAGAAGUUUUGCUGUUUUUUAUUUUUAGAAAUGAUUGAAACAUUAACCCAGUUUUAAGCAACCCUACUGUUUUCAGAUAUAAAGUAAAAUACACUUCUACUCUUUAAAACCAGUUCAAUGUAAAAUUGUGACUUGCAUUAAAAAGAUGAUGAUUGUUGUCCUUCCCAUGGAAGUUAAUGAAGAGGAAGGUGGAAACCAGCUGCUGAAUCAAACAUUGGAAUGUUUUUUAAUCAAUUCUUAAGAAAAGUCAUUAGUUAUUCAUAUGCAUUUGAUAUCUUAUAAAUGUUAUCUUUUUCUUUUGCUGACUUAGCAGAAAUAGGGUAAAUGCCUUGAACCUAGGGACAUGCCAGGGUCUUUGGAUCAGAUAAAACUUUCGAGAUACUCCUAAUUCACAGGAUAGUUAUUAUUCCCUAAAGUA
This is a long non-coding RNA of Perognathus longimembris pacificus (Pacific pocket mouse), 1433 nucleotides long. RefSeq lists it as uncharacterized. The record is from RefSeq and is a predicted model, not a curated record. Lineage: Eukaryota; Metazoa; Chordata; Mammalia; Rodentia; Heteromyidae. The transcript is spliced from 2 exons.